Molecule: non-coding RNA, 193 nt
Organism: Oryza glaberrima (African rice)
Lineage: Eukaryota; Viridiplantae; Streptophyta; Magnoliopsida; Poales; Poaceae
Source: Rfam
AAUAAAUAUAGUUUUGCAUUGUUCAUGUCCAACGCUUGACCACUCGUCUCAUUUAAAAUUUUUUUAUGAUUAGUAUUUUUGUUAUUAUUAGAUGAUAAAACAUGAAUAUUAUUUUAUAUGUGACUAUUUUUUAUUUUUAAAAAUAAGAUGGAUAGUCAAACAUUGGACAAAGAAACCCACGGAUGCGCUUAUU